Molecule: ribosomal RNA, 253 nt
Filed under: uncultured bacterium
Lineage: Bacteria
Description: partial 16S ribosomal RNA
Rfam family: Bacterial small subunit ribosomal RNA
Source: RNAcentral
GACAGAGGGUGCAAACGUUGUUCGGAUUUACUGGGCGUAAAGCGUGCGCAGGCGGUUCGCCAAGUCAGGUGUGAAAUCCCCGGGCUUAACCUGGGAAUUGCGCUUGAAACUAGCGGGCUUGAGUGUGGCAGAGGGGGGUGGAAUUCCACGUGUAGCAGCGAAAUGCGUAGAGAUGUGGAGGAACACCGAUGGCGAAGGCAGCCCCCUGGGUCAACACUGACGCUCAUGCACGAAAGCGUGGGGAGCAAACAGG